Molecule: long non-coding RNA, 264 nt
Filed under: Elaeis guineensis (African oil palm)
Lineage: Eukaryota; Viridiplantae; Streptophyta; Magnoliopsida; Arecales; Arecaceae
Description: long non-coding RNA (EGUI_LNC037515)
Source: RNAcentral
GGUAGAUGAGUCUAUGAUCUACAAUGUAGAGACACUGAGCGACAAGUAUGGGUAGUUAUUAGAGAAUAACUAGUACUGAGUAUGACCAUACUAGAAAUCACGUAGAUUUCUAUUCAAUCAUUAGUGAUUGUCUCGAUGUUGUAGUUGUGUGAAUUAUCGUUUGACCUAUGAUGGCAUGGUUGCUCACAGUGAAGCUGUUGGAGUUUGACUGACAUAGAAAUAUGAUCUCUUUGAGUCUUUAUAUUAGAUGUUGGUGAUAGUUGG